Molecule: ribosomal RNA, 712 nt
Filed under: Micrococcus sp. GWS-BW-H231
Lineage: Bacteria; Bacillati; Actinomycetota; Actinomycetes; Micrococcales; Micrococcaceae
Description: bacterial SSU rRNA
Rfam family: Bacterial small subunit ribosomal RNA
Source: RNAcentral
UUUGAUCAUGGCUCAGGAUGAACGCUGGCGGCGUGCUUAACACAUGCAAGUCGAACGAUGAAGCCCAGCUUGCUGGGUGGAUUAGUGGCGAACGGGUGAGUAACACGUGAGUAACCUGCCCUUAACUCUGGGAUAAGCCUGGGAAACUGGGUCUAAUACCGGAUAGGAGCGUCCACCGCAUGGUGGGUGUUGGAAAGAUUUAUCGGUUUUGGAUGGACUCGCGGCCUAUCAGCUUGUUGGUGAGGUAAUGGCUCACCAAGGCGACGACGGGUAGCCGGCCUGAGAGGGUGACCGGCCACACUGGGACUGAGACACGGCCCAGACUCCUACGGGAGGCAGCAGUGGGGAAUAUUGCACAAUGGGCGCAAGCCUGAUGCAGCGACGCCGCGUGAGGGAUGACGGCCUUCGGGUUGUAAACCUCUUUCAGUAGGGAAGAAGCGAAAGUGACGGUACCUGCAGAAGAAGCACCGGCUAAUACGUGCCAGCAGCCGCGGUAAUACGUAGGGUGCGAGCGUUAUCCGGAAUUAUUGGGCGUAAAGAGCUCGUAGGCGGUUUGUCGCGUCUGUCGUGAAAGUCCGGGGCUUAACCCCGGAUCUGCGGUGGGUACGGGCAGACUAGAGUGCAGUAGGGGAGACUGGAAUUCCUGGUGUAGCGGUGGAAUGCGCAGAUAUCAGGAGGAACACCGAUGGCGAAGGCAGGUCUCUGGGCUGUA